GCAGUGGUGGCCUAGUGGAUAAGGUGAUUGACUGGGGGUCAAAAGGUUGCUGGUUCAAAUCAUAGCUCCUUUGGG
Danionella cerebrum is the source of this 75-nucleotide non-coding RNA. The record is from the annotation of a GenBank genome assembly. Lineage: Eukaryota; Metazoa; Chordata; Actinopteri; Cypriniformes; Danionidae.